Long non-coding RNA from Nyctereutes procyonoides (raccoon dog), 402 nucleotides. RefSeq lists it as uncharacterized. The record is from RefSeq and is a predicted model, not a curated record. Lineage: Eukaryota; Metazoa; Chordata; Mammalia; Carnivora; Canidae. The transcript is spliced from 4 exons.
AAACGGCUUCAAACACACGGCAGUGAACAAGAAGACGACCUGGUUUCCAUAAGAACAGGCUGAAACAAUGGAACUUGAUAAAAUUGUGGGAAAGGAAUCAGAAGAACCAAAGAUGACAGGUUGUACUGAGCCCAUACUCCAGGAUGAUGUUUCCGCCUCUGUUUUAUGGCCUUCCACAAUCCCCUUACCUUCUCAACUCGCCAAUAAGCUUUCCUUGCUGGCCUCCAGCCUUGGAUCAAUCAGCAACUUGCUUGCUCAGCCCCUACAAAUGAGCUAUUGAGUAGCUUGGAGAGGUUUCCGACUGGGCCAUCCUGAAGCUAUAGUCACCAGAGGGAGCUGGUUGUUAAAUAUUUACCAGGAUACCAUUGCUGGGACCUAUGGAGCUACUCUUCUGCUAUCAGA